CCUCAAAUCAGGUGGACUACCCGCUGAACUUAAGCAUAUCAAUAAGCGGAGGAAAAGAAACUAACUAGGAUUCCCUUAGUAACGGCGAGUGAAGCGGGAUGAGCUCAAAUUUAAAAUCUGAUAGUCUUUGGCUGUCCGAGUUGUAAUCUAGAGAAGUGUUUUCCGCGUUGGACCAUGUACAAGUUUCCUGGAACGGAACGUCAUAGAGGGUGAGAAUCCCGUCCUUGACAUGGACUACCUGUGCUUUGUGAUACACUCUCAACGAGUCGAGUUGUUUGGGAUUGCAGCUCAAAAUGGGAGGUAAAUUCCUUCUAUAGCUAAAUAUUGGCGAGAGACCGAUAGCGAACAAGUACCGUGAGGGAAAGAUGAAAAGCACUUUGGAAAGGGAGUUAAACAGUACGUGAAAUUGUUAAAAGGGAAACGAUUGAAGUCAGUCGCGUUUGCUUGGACUCAGCCUUACCUCGGUUUGGUGCAUUUCCUUGUGAACGGGCCAGCGUCAAUGUUGUUCGUUGGAAAAGGGUUAGAGAAAUGUGGCUCUUUCGGGAGUGUUAUAGUCUCUGAUCGUAUACAACGGCUGAUAUUGAGUGGUACAGCAUGCUUCGGCGGUGCUUGUGCUGGCA
Molecule: ribosomal RNA, 620 nt
Filed under: uncultured Basidiomycota
Lineage: Eukaryota; Fungi; Basidiomycota
Description: LSU rRNA
Rfam family: Eukaryotic large subunit ribosomal RNA
Source: RNAcentral